GGGCAGGAAAUUGGGAAUGAAUUGGAUGAACAAAAUGAGAUAAUUGACGACCUUGCCAACCUAGUGGAGAACACAGAUGAAAAACUUCGCACUGAAACCAGGCGGGUAAACAUGGUGGACAGAAAGUCAGCCUCUUGUGGUAAGAGAUAGCUACGUUAUGGCUCUGUUUCUGUCAUAGCUUGUGGAUUUACUCUGCUCUGAGUUUACUGUUUGUCUAAUUACUGUAGGGAUUUGGUUGCUCUUCUGAUACAGGCAGUGCCAUUUGAUGAAGCACUGAAAUUGCUAAACGAUGAUUAAAUCUGGUCAAAAUGAAAUGGAGUUCAGAGGGCGUAUCAUUCAUUGUUUUUUGUUUUUUUUGUUUUUUUUAAUUUAAAAGUCCUUUCUGUGUGUUUACAGAGAUUAAUGGUUUGGAAAAUUGUAUAACAUUAUACUGGUUGGCGGGUUUUAAAGGGGAUCUCACUUGCUUUUGUGCCGUUUUAAAAUAACCACAAGCUUAAUUGAGUUCAAAUCCUAUGUUUAGUGAUGGUAUCUUUGUCAAGUCACCUUACCUCUUGAUACCUUGUAUGUAAAAUGGGGAUUCAUAUGCCAAGAUAAGAAUCGCUUGGAGGGCUUGCUUAAAAAUACUGAUCCUGAGGCCCUCCCCUAGGGAUUCUGAUUGAGUAGAUCUAGGGUGGAGUUCAAGAAUAUUCAUUAUUUAACAAGUGUACCAAGCAGUUCUGCUGCAGGUGCUUGUUCUGCAGAAAUUCUGAUGCAGACUUUUGUGAGGUUUAAAUUGUGUAUUGCUGGCGCACAGUGCCUUGCC
This 802-nucleotide small RNA is filed under the name Pongo abelii (Sumatran orangutan). RNAcentral describes it as "retained intron". Lineage: Eukaryota; Metazoa; Chordata; Mammalia; Primates; Hominidae. The record is from RNAcentral.